GAGAUAUGGUUCCUUAUAUUGGAAACCGCAAGAGACGAAUGUAAAGAACUCUUAUUGUCUGUCAUGACGGUGAGAAGAAGAAGAAAUAAGAGAUGGAGGGAAGGUAAGGUAAGGGAAGUGAUUUGAGAGAGAUAAAGUAAGAGAAUAUAUUUGAGAGAGACAGCGAGCUAAAAGGCUCACAGGGGUUUGAAAAGUUCAGCCCAUGUCACGUAUUGAACAUUUUCCAUCUCAAGAAUGAUUGAGACAUGAUUCUUGAUGUUGGAGACAUCAAGAACAGUGUGAAAGAUAGAGUUUGAGUGAGACAUGGUGAUGGAGAAGAAAAAGAAAGGGGCUGAAGGUGCUAGGGCCUGUGUGCAAAAGUCAAAGGAAGGCGUUAGGGCUCUCACAUUAUCCAUUCUAAGAUGGUAUCAGAACAAGUUCUGAUCACGCUUUCGCUAGCCCUCGCUUGUGAUGACAAGCACCCACCAUUUGUUGUUCAAGCAUCAAGUCCAAGAAGUGCUUGGCGUGAGGGGGUGUGUUGGAAAUAAUUCAAGUUCCACAUCGGCUAACAAUAUAACCUUAUAAGUGAGAGAUAACUCUCACCCCUUGAACUAGUUUUUGAAGUUGAGUUAGACUUAAACUCACCUUCUAAGAUGGUAUCAAGCCCAAUAAGUGUUGGGCGUGAAAGAGGUGUAUUGAGAAAUAUCUAAGUCUCACAUAGGCUGCCUCAACCCUUGGAGUGCAGCUUAUAUAUC
Molecule: long non-coding RNA, 734 nt
Filed under: Glycine max (soybean)
Lineage: Eukaryota; Viridiplantae; Streptophyta; Magnoliopsida; Fabales; Fabaceae
Description: long non-coding RNA (GMAX_LNC004247)
Source: RNAcentral